GGGCGAUUAGCUCAGUUGGUUCAGAGCAUCUGCCUUACAAGCAGAGGGUCGGCGGUUCGAGGCCGUCAUCGCCCA
Molecule: transfer RNA, 75 nt
Filed under: Bacteroidales bacterium
Lineage: Bacteria; Pseudomonadati; Bacteroidota; Bacteroidia; Bacteroidales
Also listed under: 2 other names
Description: tRNA-Val
Rfam family: tRNA
About the family: Transfer RNA (tRNA) molecules are approximately 80 nucleotides in length. Their secondary structure includes four short double-helical elements and three loops (D, anti-codon, and T loops). Further hydrogen bonds mediate the characteristic L-shaped molecular structure. tRNAs have two regions of fundamental functional importance: the anti-codon, which is responsible for specific mRNA codon recognition, and the 3' end, to which the tRNAs corresponding amino acid is attached (by aminoacyl-tRNA synthetases). tRNAs cope with the degeneracy of the genetic code in two manners: having more than one tRNA (with a specific anti-codon) for a particular amino acid; and 'wobble' base-pairing, i.e. permitting non-standard base-pairing at the 3rd anti-codon position.
Source: RNAcentral